This 72-nucleotide transfer RNA is filed under the name Heterocephalus glaber (naked mole-rat). It matches the Rfam family "tRNA". Rfam says of the family: Transfer RNA (tRNA) molecules are approximately 80 nucleotides in length. Their secondary structure includes four short double-helical elements and three loops (D, anti-codon, and T loops). Lineage: Eukaryota; Metazoa; Chordata; Mammalia; Rodentia; Bathyergidae. The record is from Rfam by way of RNAcentral.
GGAGAUGUGGCUCAGAGGUAGAGUGCUUGCCUAGCAUGCUGUAGACUCAAGGUUCAAUCCCUAGCAACCCCA